CUACGGGUCGCUGCAGUGAGGAAUAUUGCACAAUGGGGGGAACCCUGAUGCAGCAACGCCGCGUGGAGGAUGACGCAUUUCGGUGUGUAAACUCCUUUUAUAUGUCAAGAAAAUGACGGUAGCAUAUGAAUAAGCACCGCGCUAACUCCGUGCCAGCAGCCGCGGUAAUACGGAGGGUGCAAGCGUUACUCGGAAUCACUGGGCGUAAAGGACGCGUAGGCGGGUUGGAAAGUCAGGUGUGAAAUCCUACAGCUUAACUGUAGAACUGCACUUGAAACUUCUAAUCUAGAGUAUGGGAGGGGGAGAUGGAAUUCGUGGUGUAGGGGUAAAAUCCGUAGAUAUCACUAGGAAUACCUAAAGCGAAGGCGAUCUCCUGGAACAUUACUGACGCUAAGGCGUGAAAGCGUGGGGAGCAAACAGGAUUAGAUACCCUAGUAGUC
This 440-nucleotide ribosomal RNA is filed under the name uncultured bacterium. Its description in RNAcentral is "partial 16S ribosomal RNA". It matches the Rfam family "Bacterial small subunit ribosomal RNA", at positions 339 to 795 of the family's 1533-position model. The record is from RNAcentral.